Long non-coding RNA from Oxyura jamaicensis (ruddy duck), 3050 nucleotides. RefSeq lists it as uncharacterized. NCBI's taxonomy places the organism in Eukaryota, Metazoa, Chordata, Aves, Anseriformes, Anatidae. The record is from RefSeq and is a predicted model, not a curated record. The transcript is spliced from 5 exons.
GAGAUACCUGCAAGUGGGUUAGAGAAAGAGAAGGUUAAACAUGAUAAGAAAAAUUACUGCUUCCAGUCUCUACGAAUAAAUAAACAAAACACUCUUAACUGUACAGAGUUCAUUUCUCAAAGAAUUACCAGUUACAGGACACAAAUGAACAUUAACAGAUAGAGCCAUGAUUGACAGGCAUCCCAAAGCAAAUUGAUUUUACACGGGGGAAGGAAAAAUACAGUGUCUUAUGUUUCAGCAGCAGGAUACUAAUCCUGUUCUUAUGCCAUUUUUACUGGGGCCACACUAAGAAACAAUGCGGUGUGAAAUGUUGUUCUUGCACACGUCGAGUUUGUUGAAGUGAGCUGUGGUUUGUGCAAAACGGUUGUUCUUUCCUAGCAAAGAAGGGCAAGGUGAAGAACAGCACUGGCAUUACACAGUAUUCUGCUCUAAUCUCAAUUCCCUCUCUCCAAAAAAACUCAGUCACAGGUAAGAUACGGUUGCUUCCAUCAAAGGGUCACGUAAUACCUGGUAGCAACAAGAGGGUAUGUUCUUCUGUUCUUGGAUCUUGGCAAUGAUCUUGCCCCCUUGCAAUGAUCCCUGUGCUUGGCUCUUGCUCCUGCCACCCUGGCAAGGGCUUUUAUCAACUGUGAUCAAGGUGAUACCUCGUCUUUCUUUUCUGGGGUGGCUGUCAAGAGUGGUCCUGGGCUGUUUCUUGUAAGAGGAUUAAAAGUGUUCUCAGUACUGGUUUCUGACUAAGCUUAGGAUUUUAGGAGGAAAGAUAAAUUAUUUAGCAAGUCUGAGAGUAAUCGUCCAUUGGCUCUUUUUCUGCUCUUCCUGUAAUCUCCAAACAGUCAACACAGUCUAGAUGCUAAAAAAACUUCCCAUGGCAACAGCCAGAGGAAAGAUGGGAACAAAUUAAGCACUGAGAUACAAGACAGCUUGCAAUGUGGCUCACCCUCCAGGACUGUGAAGGUCCCUUUUUCAGUACUGCCAGCCACUGCAUGCUGCCCUCCCAAAGCACAGCCCAAAGGCAACGGCGUCAGUGCAAACCUUAUCUUCCCCUGGAGAAUGUGCUAUGUCCUUGCUCCGUCAUGAGCAGCAAAGCCAGGUGAAAACAUCCAUUCUCCUUGGAAUGCUCCUCCUGAUUCAAGCCCACUCAGCCAUUUCCUUGGGGACUUCCGCAAAUGCUGCUAGUGCCUGUACGAAGUCAAACAGCUGCUGGUUUUUCCUUGUUUGCUUUGUUGUUUGUUGGUUUGUUUGGUAGUUUGCUUGUUUGGUUUAAAUUUCUCUCCUCGCCUCCCCCCAGAUGGUUGCUGUCUCUCCAAGAGAGGCAGUAUUCAGACAGCAAAAGGGAUGAUGUGCUGUGAAGACAGCAAAAGUGGAGUUGUGAAGCAAUAAUGCAACCCUGCUUGGACAAAAGCUGCUGUGAUUCUGACUCCCGUGCAAAGUUAGCAUCACCUGGGAGCCUCACACCCCUUUGCAUCUUCAAAGAGAAAUCCUGGAUGUUGUGUUUGGAUUUUGGGGAAGAAAAUGAACCAGAGUAGGAUCUCCUAUGACAUGACUGACAUGACAGAAGGAUGCUGUGCCCUACCUGACCCCUGUGUGUCCAAGAAUGUCCUUCCUGGUUUACAGAUGAGUCCUGACACUCAGCCUCCCACCACCAGCACUUUAAUGGCACUUGCCCUCUACCUCCCUUUCAUUCUGUUCCCUUCCCUUCUUACUCCAGUGGCUAGAUGGAGAGUCCUUUGAAAGUGCAAGCUUUCACUUCAUUUCAUGCUUGUAAAGUGCAUAACAGAGCACCAGUCCAAGAAGAAGGCUGUGAAGUCCAGGCACAAUGCAAAAUAAUAAUUAUAGUAAUAAUAUUAAGCUAUUAUUCUCUUCAAAUGUUCCAUUCUUUCGGUGCUCCUGGAGCUUCUACAAGGCUCUUUCUUUUUCUAACAACACUGUGGCUUAUUUUAUCUGCACAGCUUUGAACUGAGUCAUGGCAGUGUCUUGGGCCAAUUCACAACAGUACCCUCCUUAUCUGCCCAGGGCAGAAGGUGAUGGAGAGCCUGUGGUAUUGCCCUUUCUAUUUCUGUUCCAAGACUGCACAAGCCUACAAGCUGGAGCUUCAUCCAUGAGAAGCCAGCGUGUGAGAUGCAAACUGAUGCAGUGUGGGGCAGCUCCUGGCCUGAGCUGUCAGAAACCUCCAGCAGCUCCAGGAAGGGUCCUCCCUGGAAAGUCCAAGUCAGUCUGUUUGAAGACACCAAGGAAGAGGUCACCUGCAGGAGCCUCAUUGCCUGAAUAAUUCAAGGAAAGAAGUCUUCCCAGUGGGUGAGAUUUCCUUGCAAGAGUAAUGCAGGUCUGCAUACUGUGACGUGCACGGCUCCAGCUGUGAUCAGCCAGAAAAUAGAGCCUUUAUUGCAGUGUCUACACCUGCUUUCAGAAAGUCAUAGGAGUUUGGCAGGCUGCUUUCCACUGGUGACUCUGGAGGACAGAGGAAAAAUCAGCUGACAGAACGUUUCUUGCAAAGGAGAAGUAUAUAAAAUGAGUGCAUAUGACCAUUUCAUGGGAAAAGAAAGCCUUCAUCUUGUCCUGCCAAUCAGGGGAAUCCAGUCUCUGGAGUGUCUCAUGUGAGGGCUGGCUUUCAGGGUUAUGUCUUCCAAGCAGCCUCUCUCUGCCAGGCAAGGCCAGUUUACACAGGGAAAAGGCAUAAACUACUUCUGCACUUGACACCAUGCAUCUGUUCUCUGUGGGGACACAUUUGUCAUACCCUUCAAGACCUCUUGUCCUUGCUCUGCCUUAAUGGGGAAGGGAAAAGCAGCAUCCCUCAGAUAAACCACCUCGGAGACUACAGGACCAUGAAAUGGGAAGGUAGAUGAGAGGAGCCAACUGUGGAUACAAUAGAAGUCAGGAAGGGUGUAGAUAACAUCCUCCAGGCUGGCCCAAGGACAAGGAAGUCCAGCGUUGGCACACAUCGAAAAUCCAGCUGAAGAGCAAAGCCAAACUGGAGGCUAGAGACUGUGGACUUGAGGCUUGAGAGAGCAAAAAUGUUGUAGAAAUAAAAGAGAAAAAAACUUUUGCAACCA